CCCUUUCUCCUUGUCUCUUUCGUUUGCUCUCUGCCAACCCCGAACGGAUACCCACCAAUUGUCACCGCUAUUCAAGCACCGGACCAGGAAGACCAGACACCACCGAAACUCCAUCCCCGCGAGCCUUCUUCGUCGUUCUUCCCUGCGAGCAGAAGCCUCCAAGUUCGUAUGCCGCCGCCGUGGGUUCAAGGCCAAUUUCUUCCUUGCGAGCAGAAGCCUCCAAGAUGAACAAAGCCCAACCAAGGAUCGAGCUUUUAAGUGAUAGGAGGAGAUGAAAUGAGCUCACUGGCGUCCAUGGGUUUUCGAGGUUAUUUGACCUUGAUUCGCCAUCCACGAUGAACGGAGAGCCUCCCCAACAUGAUGAACGACGUCCAUGGCAAGAGCACUCGUGCCUCCAUUUAUCUUUUUCCACCAGUACCAGGUUGUGGGAAGGGCUCUCCCUACCUAGUGGGAUGAAGCUUUGGGCCACCAAUGAGGUCGGCGCCAAGUCCAAAUUCUGGGACAUUGUCAUCCAAAAAUCAUGAAAGCAUUACAAGAAUAGGCAGAAAGGCUCACCCUUAGCUCUCGAGCAUUCCAUAAUGAUAAAUUUCCAAUAUUUGCUGAGCAUCUAACAGAAAUGUUCGGAUAUGACAUGGUGCUUCCUAUGAACACUGGUGCUGAAGGUGUAGAAACAGCUCUGAAGUUGGCCAGGAAAUGGGGUUACGAGAAGAAGAAAAUUCUGAAAGAUAAGGCUAUCAUCGUAUCAUGCUGCAGAUGCUUCCAUGGUCGUACGUUAGGCAUCAUCUCAAUGAGCUGU
Humulus lupulus (European hop) is the source of this 796-nucleotide long non-coding RNA. RefSeq lists it as uncharacterized. NCBI's taxonomy places the organism in Eukaryota, Viridiplantae, Streptophyta, Magnoliopsida, Rosales, Cannabaceae. The record is from RefSeq and is a predicted model, not a curated record. The transcript has 4 exons.